RNAcentral lists this ribosomal RNA (253 nucleotides) under uncultured bacterium. Its description in RNAcentral is "partial 16S ribosomal RNA". It matches the Rfam family "Bacterial small subunit ribosomal RNA", at positions 524 to 776 of the family's 1533-position model. The record is from RNAcentral.
GUCGAACUGUGCGAACGUUAUUCGGAAUCACUGGGCUUAAAGGGUGCGUAGGUGGCGCGUUAAGUCAGGUGUGAAAUUUCGGAGCUUAACUCCGAAACUGCAUUUGAUACUGGCGUGCUUGAGGACUGGAGAGGAGACUGGAAUUCAUGGUGUAGCAGUGAAAUGCGUAGAGAUCAUGAGGAAGACCAGUGGCGAAGGCGGGUCUCUGGACAGUUCCUGACACUGAGGCACGAAGGCCAGGGGAGCAAACGGG